Molecule: ribosomal RNA, 433 nt
Filed under: uncultured bacterium
Lineage: Bacteria
Description: partial 16S ribosomal RNA
Rfam family: Bacterial small subunit ribosomal RNA
Source: RNAcentral
AACGAACGCUGGCGGCAUGCCUAACACAUGCAAGUCGAACGAGACCUUCGGGUCUAGUGGCGCACGGGUGCGUAACGCGUGGGAACCUGCCCUUGGGUUGGGAAUACCUCCCGGAAGGGGUUGCUAAAACGGAAAAAUUUCUCCGAACAAAAGAUUUAUCGCCUUUGGAUGGGCCCGCGUUGGAUUAGCUAGUUGGUAGGGUAAAAGCCUACCAAGGCGACGAUCCAUAGCUGGUCUGAGAGGAUGAUCAGCCACACUGGGACUGAGACACGGCCCAGACUCCUACGGGAGGCAGCAGUGGGGAAUAUUGGACAAUGGGCGAAAGCCUGAUCCAGCAAUGCCGCGUGAGUGAUGAAGGCCUUAGGGUUGUAAAGCUCUUUUACCCGGGAUGAUAAUGACAGUACCGGGAGAAUAAGCUCCGGCUAACUCCGUG